This 497-nucleotide ribosomal RNA is filed under the name uncultured bacterium. RNAcentral describes it as "partial 16S ribosomal RNA". It matches the Rfam family "Bacterial small subunit ribosomal RNA", at positions 28 to 507 of the family's 1533-position model. The record is from RNAcentral.
GACGAACGCUGGCGGCGUGCCUAAUACAUGCAAGUCGAACGCUGAAGAGAGGAGCUUGCUCUUCUUGGAUGAGUUGCGAACGGGUGAGUAACGCGUAGGUAACCUGCCUGGUAGCGGGGGAUAACUAUUGGAAACGAUAGCUAAUACCGCAUAAAAUUGAUUAUUGCAUGAUAAUUAAUUGAAAGAUGCAACUGCAUCACUACCAGAUGGACCUGCGCUGUAUUAGCUAGUUGGUGAGGUAACGGCUCACCAAGGCGACGAUACAUAGCCGACCUGAGAGGGUGAUCGGCCACACUGGGACUGAGACACGGCCCAGACUCCUACGGGGGGCAGCAGUAGGGAAUCUUCGGCAAUGGGGGGAACCCUGACCGAGCAACGCCGCGUGAGUGAAGAAGGUUUUCGGAUCGUAAAGCUCUGUUGUAAGAGAAGAACGGGUGUGAGAGUGGAAAGUUCACACUGUGACGGUAGCUUACCAGAAAGGGACGGCUAACUACGUG